AAGAUAUUCCGUGAGUAGUGGCGAGCGAAAGCGGAGGAGGCUAAACCAGAUGCGUGUGAGAGGCGGCGGCCGUUGCGUGUUUGGUGUUGUGGGGCCAUGUUGGAUCCUUCUGCCGGGGGGUCGCGCCGUGUGAUGCUGGGAGUCGAACAGUUUGGGAUGGCUGACCGUAGAGCGUGAGAGUCGUGUAGGUGGACUGGUGUUGUGUGGUGUGGAUGUGGUGCCCGAGUAGUGCGGGACUCGUGAAAUCUCGUGUGAAUCUGCCAAGACCACUUGGUAAGCCUAAAUACUACUUGAUGACCGAUAGUGCAUAGUACCGUGAGGGAAUGGUGAAAAGUACCCCGGGAGGGGAGUGAAAUAGUACCUGAAACCGUGUGCCUGUAAGCCGUCAGAGCCUUGUGGGGUGAUGGCGUGCCUUUUGAAGAAUGAGCCUGCGAGUUAGUGAUACGUGGCGUGCUUAACCCGUGUGGGGUAUGCGUAGCGAAAGCGAGUCUGAAAUAUUGGCGUUUGUCGCGUGUUCUAGACCCGAAGCGGGGUGAUCUACCCAUGGUCAGGUUGAAGCAGAGGUAAGACUGUGUGGAGGACCGAACCCACCAGGGUUGAAAACCUGGGGGAUGAACUGUGGGUAGGGGUGAAAGGCCAAUCAAACUCCGUGAUAGCUGGUUCUCCCCGAAAUGCAUUUAGGUGCAGCGUCGCGUGGUCCCUGGUGGAGGUAGAGCUACUGGAUGGCCGAUGGGCCCUGUGGGUUACUGACGUCAGCCAAACUCCGAAUGCCAUUAGGUGUAGCGCGGCAGUGAGACUGCGGGGGAUAAGCUUCGUAGUCGAGAGGGAAACAGCCCAGAUCAUCAGCUAAGGCCCCUAAGCGUACGCUAAGUGGGAAAGGAUGUGGAGUCGCGGUGACAACCAGGAGGUUGGCUUAGAAGCAGCCAUCCUUGAAAGAGUGCGUAAUAGCUCACUGGUCAAGUGGUUCUGCGCCGACAAUGUAGCGGGGCUCAAGCGUACCGCCGAAGCUGUGGCAACAACGCGUUUGUGCUGGCGCCAGGAACUGGAGUGCUGGUGUGUUGUUGGGUAGGGGAGCGUCCUGCACGAGGUGAAGCCUGGAGGGAACUUCUGGUGGAUUGUGUGGGAGUGAGAAUGCAGGCAUGAGUAACGAAUCUGCGGUGAGAAUCCGCAGCGCCGAUUGACUAAGGGUUCCAGGGCUAGGUUUAUCCGCCCUGGGUUAGUCGGGUCCUAAGGCGAGGCCGACAGGCGUAGUCGAUGGACAACCAGUUGAUAUUCUGGUACCGCGUUGUGACCGCCCAUGCUGAAGUCAUUGUGCUAACCAAUUUGCCUGCCGCCCACUAAGCCUUCGGGUUUGGUGGUGUGUGUGGGUCUUGGGGUCCCGGUGAUUGUAGGCAAGCGUGUUAACAGGGGUGACGCAGACAGGUAGCUGCAGUGCGCCGAUGGUUGUGCGUAUUUAAGGUUGUGGCCCGUUUCCUAGGUAAAUCCGGGAGACACUAGGGUGAGAACUGAUGAGGGACGCACGUGUGUGUGGACUUGUGGUGAUCCUAUGCUGCCGAGAAAAGCCUCGACGCGAGGGGGCAAGGCGCCCGUACCCUAAACCGACUCAGGUGGUCAGGUAGAGUAUACCGAGGCGUUCGAGUGAAUCAUGGUCAAGGAACUCGGCAAAAUUCCUCCGUAACUUCGGGAGAAGGAGGACCCCUUAGCUUCCCAGCGCCGCGCGUGCUGGUGGGGCCGGGGGGUCGCAGAGAAUAGGGAGAAGCGACUGUUUAUCAAAAACACAGGUGCGUGCGAAGCCGUAAGGCGAUGUAUACGCACUGACGCCUGCCCGGUGCUGGAAGGUUAAGAGGAACCGUCAACACUCCUUGUGGGUGUGAAGCGGUGAAUUUAAGCCCCAGUAAACGGCGGUGGUAACUAUAACCAUCCUAAGGUAGCGAAAUUCCUUGUCGGGUAAGUUCCGACCUGCACGAAUGGCGUAACGACUUCUCCGCUGUCUCAACCGCGAACUCGGUGAAAUUGCAGUACGAGUAAAGAUGCUCGUUUCGCGCAGAAGGACGGAAAGACCCCGGGACCUUUACUAUAGCUUGGUAUUGGUGUUCGCUUGGACUUGUGUUGUAUAGGUGGGAGUCUGUGAAGCUGCCGCGCCAGCGGUGGUGGAGU
This 2157-nucleotide ribosomal RNA is filed under the name human gut metagenome. RNAcentral describes it as "bacterial LSU rRNA". It matches the Rfam family "Bacterial large subunit ribosomal RNA", at positions 229 to 2186 of the family's 2925-position model. The record is from RNAcentral.